GCUAGCGGCAGGCUUAACACAUGCAAGUCGAGGGGUAACAGGGAUUGCUUGCAAUCCGCUGACGACCGGCGCACGGGUGAGUAACGCGUAUGCAACCUACCUUUUACAGGGGUAUAGUCAAGAGAAAUUUUGAAUAAUACCCCAUACGAUCUGAAUCACUCCUGUGAUACAGAAGAAAACUACGGUGGUAAAAGAUGGGCAUGCGUCCUAUUAGUUUGUUGGUGAGGUAACGGCUCACCAAGACUACGAUAGGUAGGGGUCCUGAGAGGGAGAUCCCCCACACUGGUACUGAGACACGGACCAGACUCCUACGGGAGGCAGCAGUGAGGAAUAUUGGACAAUGGAGGCAACUCUGAUCCAGCCAUGCCGCGUGCAGGAAGACGGCCCUAUGGGUUGUAAACUGCUUUUAUACAGGAAGAAACCUACUUACGUGUAAGUAGCUGACGGUACUGUAAGAAUAAGGAUCGGCUAACUCCGUGCCAGCAGCCGCGGUAAUACGGAGGAUCCAAGCGUUAUCCGGAAUCAUUGGGUUUAAAGGGUCCGCAGGCGGUCUAAUAAGUCAGAGGUGAAAUCCUAUCGCUCAACGAUAGAACUGCCUUUGAUACUGUUAGACUUGAGUUAUUGUGAAGUAGUUAGAAUGUGUAGUGUAGCGGUGAAAUGCAUAGAUAUUACACAGAAUACCGAUUGCGAAGGCAGAUUACUAACAAUACACUGACGCUCAGGGACGAAAGCGUGGGUAGCGAACAGGAUUAGAUACCCUGGUAGUCCACGCCGUAAACGAUGGUCACUAGCUGUUUGACUAACAUUGGUUAGUUGAGUGGCUAAGCGAAAGUGAUAAGUGACCCACCUGGGGAGUACGCU
This 861-nucleotide ribosomal RNA is filed under the name uncultured bacterium. Its description in RNAcentral is "bacterial SSU rRNA". It matches the Rfam family "Bacterial small subunit ribosomal RNA", at positions 35 to 886 of the family's 1533-position model. The record is from RNAcentral.